Long non-coding RNA from Paramormyrops kingsleyae, 5687 nucleotides. RefSeq lists it as uncharacterized. Lineage: Eukaryota; Metazoa; Chordata; Actinopteri; Osteoglossiformes; Mormyridae. The record is from RefSeq and is a predicted model, not a curated record.
ACCACAUCUAAGCAAGAGAAAACGGCAAAUAACCUUUACUUUACACCCUGUAAAAUAUUUGUAGUGUUCAUAUAAAUAAGGACUAAAUAAGGGAUGCUUACCUUUUACUUUGGUAGGCUGGAUCAUUAUUUGUGAGCCACUAGUAGCCACAUCAAAGGUGUCAUCCUGGAAAACAGGGUUAUUCAUUUGUGUUACAAUCCACAAUCACAUAGUUGCAUUUUUUGUUUGAUAAGUGAUGAUAUUUGUAAGUACAACUGUCAAGCUGACCUGAGCAAAGUGUACCUCCAUUAACUCCUCAGUUGUGUAAUCGGUGACUUUCUCACCAAGUGUCGUCGGCUCUGAAGAGGGGUGCCCACUCUCCCCUGCAGCAGCAACCUUCUGGUACUUGUGCUUAUGCCAGUCCAGGGACACAGGUCGGCAGCCAGGCUCCACGUAUUGCAGUCCGAGCCUUUCUCCUCUGUCUGUGUGCAUGACAAUUAGAGUAGGAUACUUGGCCUGGCCUGUCACUUGCUCUGACACUUUGUUUAGCUCCAUGAUUAAGACCGGAUCAAAAACUGCAGGGAGCUUCACACCAGGCUGUUUCAGAUCCACAAGGCGCUGAAAAUUCCAGCGAGCAACCCCAAUCAUGCCUUGUGCCUGGAAAAGUUCUGUGGAGACCUGUGUCCCUGUGACCCAUUUUGCCUGAUGGAAAUGGAACCCCUCCUGCUGAGAAGUCCCUCUCACAGGGAUCCACACUGAAACGUAACGCCGGGACAGCCCCUCAUACAUUGGCUCCAGAGAUUUGUCACAUUCAGACUGCAGCAUCACCCAGGACAAGAUCAUCCAGUUCUCAUUCAUAAUGGUGUAGGAUGACAUGGUGCCUGAUACGAGCACCACCUUCCGGGCCACCUUACGGGUAUGGUCAGCCCUUAAGGCCUGUCCAAAAGUGCCUUGAAGGAGCAGAUUGAGUGUGCUCUCCUGCCGGUGGUACUCCUGAAUGAGACAAUCAACUAGGUAGUGGGCUGAGACUCUUACUCCACACCAGCCGUCCAGGUCAGCAUAUCUACCAAAUCGAGCAGGAGUAUUUGUUGCUCUCAGUGCCCCUGUGAUUGUACGCUGACCAUAAAGUCCACUGUCUCCAUCCAGCACAUUCUUAACAGUGGUCAGGUAAGACAGGUGUGCACGCUCGUACCGGAGGUUUAGACCUUCAUUUAACUGGUUGGCCAUGUCAUUGGGAGACUUUCCUGUGCGCCGCAAUUCAUCCAUCACAGUCUUGCAUAUGGCCUUUCUGUAUGUCAGAAAAGCUGGCAAAAUGUUGUGGAACCGUGCAGGCAGCAAGUCCAUCCACUGAGGUUUGUCCGCAAACCAGUACUUUUUGCAGACUUUACAGUUGAGCCUAGAAGCUAGUAUGUAGUACUGGCCACUUGUACCAAUAAUGACACGUGGUCGUCCAAUUCCAGAUGAGACGACAUGGGGAUUGGGACAGCCGUACAGACAUGGAAGAGAGUAAUUGUUCCGGACUCUGUCCAUAAUGGGGUGGUCUGGUUUCCAAAUGAAAAAUGGAUGAAGCUGAAAGUAUUUUGGUGAUGGGAGCUCAUAGACAGAAUCAAUAAGCUCAGGCUGUGGUUCUUUGCUGCUGAGAGCACUUCCAUCGGCUCACGUCCUGCUCAGUGCUAGGGAGUGGUGGAGCAGAAGGCUUUUCCUGAGCUGAGGUGUACCCAGAAGAUGCCACAGGGAGCGUUGUGGGAGGAGCAGUCGCUGCAGGGGUUGCGGUUGGAGGAGCAGAGGAUUCGGGGGGUACAGUGAGGGGAGCAGAGGCUGCAUUAAGCCCUGAGGAAGACUGCAAAGAAGUCUCUGGGAUGACGGCUGCACAAUGACAUGGGUGAUAAUGUUCACAGUUGAGAAUUAUACAUAUUCAAAUAGCAGAUAAAAUUAAACAAUUUUAAUAAUUUUUAAAUUUGACCAAGUAUAUAAUAAUGCAGCACUAAGUCACUGGCAGAACACUAAUGGACUGGUCAAAGUGGGGAGAUUGGAUAAAGUUCCGUCCAAAACACUUCAAAGCACAAGGUCACAUUCCAGUAUGUUUCCCGGGACACUUUCACAUGCUUUAUACAUUGCAAGGAGGGCACAUUUCAUACAUGGGAACCACUUUACAUCCUUUAUUGGUUUUAAUAUUUAUUUUAUUAUUAGGGUUUAAAUUGAGUACAUCUGUGUCACCAACAUAUCUAGCUUUGCUUAUUUCCCUUUACUUUGUAAUUCUUGAGACAGUUGCAUCUGUGAAUGUACAUGUGAAUGUUUCUGUUUUGCUUUGUUUGUUUGUCUUGUCUGAUAUGUUUGACUAUUUCACACUGUCUUCUGCAUUUAAAUAAGUAUCAAUGAACAUAUAUAUUUAAAUUUAAUUUAAUCCCUAUUACAAUUUUUACAAAUAACACUGCUCUUGAAGUAGCAGGUAGUGUGUUACUUUUUUCUCUCCCCCGACCAAUGCUGCUUUUCAGCCUCAUAAAAGGGAGAUUUUUGAAACUCCCUCCAGGUCAUCUCUGCCUGCAUACCCUGUGCUUGGUUCAAAGAGAAGACUUUUGCAGGACAGUAAAUGUACUUUCCUGUGACACCAGUAAAGCCAGUGUGUAUAUGGGGGUUUGUUUGGGCUCUGCUUCAAUGGCAAGUGGCAGAAUGUACACAGACGACCACUGGGAUGCUCUUCCUGUGACUUCCUCUUUCCUCCAUUACUCUCUUUCUCAGCUGCCCUAUCUUUUGAGCUUUUUAGUUCUUGCUGGAAGAAGGGAGUAGCAGCAAAGUCCUGGAAGCUCAUCCUGGGACCAGUGAGACCCUUGGCUGCAUAGGUCUGGAAGACCUUCUGAGAGCAGUAGAAGUAUUUAACUUCUGCUGACUGAUAAAAAAAAAUUAAUGUGGGAGCCAUUGCCAAGGAAGCGGGAUUUUGGCUGGCCGCAUGCAAGACAGUUCCUUAUGGUCUUUUUCUGCCCUUGCUGCUGUAAUGCCUGCUGUUUUUUCACAAUUUCCUUCACUAUCCUCUCCACAUCAUCUUUAGUCAAAGGUGCUUCGUCUCCUGGAGUCUCUCCUCACUUGUAUUCAGUGUUGAGCUGGUGCUCUUCUUCUUGGCCAGGUGCUUAACAUACCUUGCGAUAUGCUGCUUUGUUGUAGGAUAAAGAAGGCUGUUUGGAUCGGUGCAGGCACUAUGCACCAUGGUGGCAUAAUCAGCAUCCACAAGCUUCAGCAUGUCUUUUUCUCCAUGAUACUUAACAAGGAGAGCAUCUAUGGCAUCUCUCAUUGGCUGUGUCCACCUGCUGUGAUCCGGGACAAAGACGCGACCACCUGUCUUAAUUGGGCCGAUGAGGGCAGCUUGCAGAGAUGCUGGCAAACUGAUAUUUAAAUGCACCUCUUUAAUUUCAGAAGAUGACAAUGCUGGUGUUGAAGGCAUGUACUGCUGGGAUUGCAGGAUCUGGCCUUCCAGUGAUGAAUGGACCUCUGCAGUGAUUUCUAAUUGCCUUUGGUCUCCUGAAGAAAAAAAAAACAUUCAAGUCAGUUAAGUUGCCAGCGAUUGGAGUUAAAGAAAGUGAAAGAGUUAUGGAAGUUAUUACCUGUGCAGUGUCCUCCAUCAUGGGCUUUUCUGAAGAAACAUGAUAGUGGAACAUCUUCAGGGCUGAGGGCUGCGAGACUGAAGGAGAGUGUCCCUCGAAUUCUACAGCUUUUGGGGUCUGUACUGUUCUUUGGGUCUUGUGCUUCUCCCAGUUGACGGGGGCUGGACGGCAGCCUGGCUUUACAUACUGAAGCCCAAACCUCUCCCCGGUAUCUCGGCUGGAUGUCUGAAGGACUGGAUAUUUGGCCUCUCCAGUCACCUUCACAGAAGCCUUGUUCAAUUCCACUAUUAACAGGGGGUUGAACACUAAUGGUAAGGCCACAUCUGGUAACUUCAGGUCAACCAGCCUCUGAAAGUUCCAGCGCACCACUCCGGUCAUGCCUUGUGUCUCUCCUGAGUUGUUCCAGGCACGUAUACCUGUCACCCAUUGAGCCUGAUGGAAAUGGAAGCCUUCCUGCUGGGAGGUACCCUUCACUGGAAUCCAGACAGGUACAGCUGCUCCUUCACCUGGAACGUGGUUGAGCUGCAAAGUUCAUAUAAAAUACCCUCCUCCACCUGAGGAUCACUCAAGCAGCUUCUCAGGAUAUGGAUGCGCUGGAUUCUCCAUGUCUUUAACAUGGAAGGCUUGAGAAGACGCAGACCGUUGGGAUCUGGGGCCAAGUGGAAGUGGUGCAGGACAUCUUCCAUUCUCUUCAACAGCUCCAAAGGUUGUAGGAUUUUUAUCCUACAAUGUUCCCUGAUGUGUUUUGUUGGGUUAGUUGGAGAAGUUCCACAGAAUCUGUAUGUUUCUCUCAACUUCUCCAGGUCACCUUGAUCAACCACAGAGAAAGCCGCAGAGAGAAACUGGCUGAAUGUGCUGUAUAGUGAAUGAAGCUCUGAAACACAUUGACAUAGAAAUCGCCUCAUGCAGUGGAACAAAUCAAGUUUACCGACGAUGUCGUUGUUAUACUGGCUGCGUGAAGCACACGUGUUGGUCACGUUCCCAGAAGUCGCCUCUUCCACCAUAUCCUCUGUGGUCUUCCAUGAAACCCACUGCAAAUGUCCAUGUGGAGCAGGACCAAGGACUUUAAAGGCAACACAUCCCUAUGAAGAUAUUACAAGAUUAUUUCAGUGAAAAUUAAAUUAGGAUGAACAGACUUUAGCAAAUCAAAUACAAUUUAACUGAGCAAAUCUAGAAACAGAGAAAGGGUGCUAUAUCUACUGAAAGCAUACAAAACAUAUCUUUUAAUACCUAGUAUAUGAAUCCUGAAGAGUGACUGUUUGUUUGUGUGUGUGCUCAGGAUUCUCACUCAUCGGGCUUUUGGUUUUGGAAGGGGACCAACCAAGCAUCAUCCUCUCCAAUUCCUCAUCUUCCUCUAUUUCUAUAAAACAAAACAGAUAUGAAUAAAAGGCAUAAUGAACACACAAAACCCCAUAUAUGAAUCUGUCAGCCAACCUGGAGGAUUAGUAGAAGUGUCUGGAAGUGCUGGUCGUUUAGGGAGCAGAUGCAUCCAGUGACAUCUGAAGAUUGCUGUGUUUCAGCCUCAGGUACUGCUGUAGUCGGUACACUUUGCUGCCUGGUACACAUUGCUGUCUGAGGAUAAAUGCUGCAUACCCAUCAUCCCUGCUGUCCCAAAUAUCCUUCCAGGUCUUGCCAGCACGGACUCCAAACCCAACCAAAUUCUCAUCCUCACUUUUGACAGGUGGUGUAUGAGGUCCCCUAUUUCUUGAAAUUGAAAACGAAUGGGAAAAGUUAAGGGAAGUUAAGGGAGUGAGUGUCUAUUCUUGUGCUUAACUUUUGUGUUUGAGAAUGUUUACCAUCCUCUUCUUUCUGUUCUUGAGUAUUGGAACUGGUCUUCGGCAAUGGAAGAUGACAUAAAACGGCUACGCGAGAAUACAAGUACGGUCAAAUGUGCAUAUUGAGAAACACUAGUGCAGUAUCAAAUUCCACCAUUUUUGUUGAGGUGAACAGAGAACAAUGUACCAAGCCUCAUGACAACCUGUAAGCAGCUCACUUCCUGAGGUGGCUAAGGCGAAAUUUUGUCUUAAACUUUGUCUUGUGUCUGAAAGUGUCAAAUCGAUAUCCUUGUUCCUGUACUUGUAUCUAUUGAUAUUAAAAGAGCUUUUUUCAACA